RNAcentral lists this long non-coding RNA (4255 nucleotides) under Homo sapiens (human). RNAcentral describes it as "mir-99a-let-7c cluster host gene". The record is from RNAcentral. Lineage: Eukaryota; Metazoa; Chordata; Mammalia; Primates; Hominidae.
AACUGAAAUGGAACAGGGGCAGAAAAUAGCACACUUUUACUCUACGCAACUGUUGCUUUUUCAUGAUCUUCAGGAAUUUUACUGGGAUAAUUAUCCAAAUAAAUUGCAAGCAUUCUAUCCAAAUGGAGCUCUUUCUGAGAUGAAGAGAAUUCUCAAUGUCAAGAUUUGAACAAGAAGAGAAUGGAAUACACAAUAUGGACAUCCAUAAAAAUUCAUCAGAGAGCAUUUUACUACUGAGCUGCAAAGGGAAAAACUUAAAAUGGAUAUGAAAAGUGAAGAAAGUGAUCAUAGGAGAAAACCAUUUCAGAUGGAGUCUCGCUCUGCCGCCCAGGCUGGAGUGCAGUGGCGCUAUCUCAGCUCACUGCAGGCCCCGCCUCCCGGGUUCACGCCAUUCUCCUGCCUCAGCCUCCUGAGUAGCUGGGACUACAUGCGCCCGCCACCACGCCUGGCUAAUUUUUUGUAUUGGUAGAGACGGGGUUUCACCGUUCUAUGACAAGAGCACCUCAAAGGCAGCAGCCUCAAGGAGCAGCCAUGGCCCCAGACUUGUCGCACGGAUGCAGAAAACUUAAUGGAGGAGGCUGAGGUCAGAAUGGGAAGAGUUUUUAAAAAAUAAAAAGGGGAGCUAAUAUGUGAGGAACUGAUUGCUGUGCAUUAUUUUCCACUGAACAGACCUUCUUUUAACUUCUAAUCUCAAGCACAUAGCAGCUGUUGUUUUCAUAUUAAAGAUCAGUAAGUGUUUGUUGAAUGAAUGUAUAAAUUCUUCCCCAAUCUCUGUUCCAUGUAAUAAGAACUAAGUUAGCAUUCAAUUAUAAAGAGGACUUAGAAAGUCUGCAGACAUUUUUGAUCAAAAAUCCUUUUAACUGUCUUCUUAUGGUUCCCGGUAACACCUAAGCCCAAAAAACUCAGGUCAUUUCUUGCCUGUACUGUUGCAAUAGCCUCAUAAUAACUAGUCUUCUCCUUUAUCAACCACAGUCGUCUCCGCUACACAAAGAAGAGAGGGUGCUAAUCUAAAGUGUAAAUUAUUUUAAAUCAGCACCCUUCUUGUAAUUUCCCAGUGGUUUUUCCUGUCAUAAGAAUAACAUGCAAAAUUCCUUGCUUGCAAAGCCAGGUAUGACCUUGCCCCGUCUACCUUACUGGCAUCGUCUCUCAUGACUCUUCCCCUUUUUCACUCUCCAUCUUGCCUUUUCCCAACCAUGCCUGCUAGUGAGCCUUAGCCCUUGUGUUUUCUCUGCCAGGGAUGCAUGACUGGCUUCUUUACUUUAUUCUGAUCUCUCUGCUCAAAUGUCAUCUUUUUAGAGAUAGCUUUCCUAAACAUCUUUAAAAGUACCCCAUGAACUGUGAAACACCUUUCCUGCUUUUUCUUCAUAGUACUUAUCACUUCCUGAUAUUAUGUUAGACAACAAGCAAAUAAGUAUAUGCUGUUCCCACUAAAAUAUAAGCUCCAUUUGAACAGGAGCCUUGAUUAUUCCUGAGUAUACCCCUAGUGCCCAGAACCUAGUAGGGCUUUAAUAAAUAUUAGAUUCAUUUGUUGAAUGAAAAAAUGAAUGAAUAAUUGAAUAAAGAUAUCCAGGUAGAGUGUCCGGGCAGCCCAACCUAUGUGAAGCCAGUACAAGAAUGUUUCUGUGACAUAGUGAGCGCAAUUAUUCCUCUAAAUGAUGAACUUGCAUGAGUACACAAGGAUAAAAUUAAGCACGUAGUUUAGAUUUCUGCAAGUCUCUUCCUCAGAUUGAGGAAAAACAAAGAAAUUGAGCUUAUUCUCACCUCAUUCUUACAUGAACUAAAUCCAGAAUAAAGCAUCAUUUAAAUACCAAGCACAUCCCUACCUCAGCCACUCAUGGAAUACUUUAUCUGUAAAGGGACAGAUAGAUAGUAAAUAUUUUUGGCUUUGGGGACCGUACAGUCUGUGUCGCCACUACUCAGCACUUCUGUUGAGGUGUGGAAUCAGCCCUAGACAACACAUAAACAAAUGGGUGUGGCUGUGUUCCAAUAAAAUGUUAUUUAUAAAACUAGGAAAUCAGCAGAUUUAGUCCACAGGCUGUAGUUUGCUGACCCUUGAAUUAGAGAGUCUUCCCCAAAUCCUCUUCCCAAGUUAUUGAAAGAAUGCCCAUAGGACCAUAGCUCCCUCACCUGGUUCUUUCAAGAAAUGAGACAAAUUCAGGGAUGGUUGGAGGGUGGAACGCCUACCUGUGACAUGACUAUUGAGCCUGAUUUCUUUCCUUUUAUCUCUUUAAAGUGAGUCAGGUCUUAACUUUAAACUGUCUCUAAAGUGGCAAUAACUGGGCCAUGUCAAAUACUCCCAAUGACAAAAUUUCUUCUUGGAGAAUGAAUGAGGGUUGCAUACAGUGGUGUGUUGGUAAAUGUUUAGCAACUGGCUCUCUUACUGAUUUCUGUAGUGUAAAUUCUCCCAUCCUGGCCAUCUGAAACUACCAAUAUGAUGUCACUUGAUGUAGAGUUGGGAAAAGACAGUCUCUUGAAUAAGUAUGAGCUGGUUCCAGCCCACUGCUGAACACAUAUUUAAAAGCUACAAUAGCUCUGCUCACUGCCAUUGCAGAGUCUGGAGGAAAGAGUAGCAGGCUUGAUAGGAGCAAUUGGCUGAAUAAUCUUUUGCAAUGCCAAUAAAUAAUGAAAAAGUAUAUAAAUAUAACGCUGUAUAGAAAGCUCUCAAGUUCAGUGUUUGGUUAAAAUACAUACUCAGUAAAUGGUAGCUAUUAUUGUCUUAGUUUAAGUUAUUGCAAGCAUUAAAAUUAAAUGUUUAGCUACAGACUCAAUCCAGUUUUAAUGUCAUUGUGUUAAUAAGGCCUCUUAACAUUGAAGCAACAAAGAUAAAGGAAUUUUUUUGUAGCUAUUCACGAUUCUGCCCAGCUCAAGGUAAAGAUAGCAACAAAAUACUCCAACCAGAAUAAAAGAAGUCUCCACUUGACUGCAGCUCUUCGCAACACUUCACAAGGGUCAAGCUGUGUUAGUUUCCUUCAGUGUUAAACAGAAUGCAUCUUAAGAGAAUAGUUCAAUUAUUGAUUGAAUAGUAGGUUCAAGUUGACUAUAAUCCCAACUAAUACACUCUAAGACCAGGGAUGGGCCGACAGAAGGGUAAAGUUUUCCACUCAAGUCUCGAGGCAAACACUCAGAUAGAAGUAGUAAUAUGGAUGCCUUCUAUUAUUUGGUCACAUACAAUACUGUUCCAGCCCAGUUGUGCAAAACUGGUGAAAUAAAAGGCAAAAAUAUUGACAACAGUUUGGGUAACUGGAUUCCAAAAUGGGCAUCCAUCUAAGAGAAAUUAAUGAAAAAAAAGCAUAUGGACCUUGAAAUACAUUAAUACACAGUUUAGGUUUAAACACUCAGUUUUUAUUAGAAAAGACUAACUUAUCCUGUUUUGAACACUACAAAAGUGCUUUCUGAACCAUUUACUCUCAAACCUCCUCCACCCAUUCCCCUCCAUCUAUAACGCUUUCUGCACAUCUGUAAAAGGUAUGACUUAGUGUUUGGUCUGUGAAAUAAGGUUAAAAAGGAAGCAUUUCUUUUUACAUUCUAGCUAAUGUUGAUAUUUUUCUCAUGCUUCUAUUAGCACAUAAUUCAGAUACAUUAGUUUUGAAGUUUUGAAUCUUCUCUGCUUCUUGAGGGCUCUCUGUUCUAGAUCAACAUGAUCUGUGGAACACCAGCCAAGUCCUGGGCAGAACCCUCCCCGUUGUCCAAAUAUUACUGAAUCAGUUGAGUUUUCUCUGUUGUCAAUGAAUUAUUCCACAUGUUUCUUUGGCUACAUUUUUUUUGGCUUUCUGUUCACAGUAAAUAUAGCCUUUGUUUUUAAAAACUUCUAUUAUGAAAAUUCCAAAUAUAUGCAAAUUAGAGAGAAUAGCAUAAUGAACCUCUAUGUGCUUAUCACACAUAUAGGUUCAACUAAUUAAAUUAUAUCAAUUUAUGGCCAAUCUGGUUUCAUUUAUAACAUCAUUCGCUCAUUCCUAACUCCCUGGAUUAUUUGAUUGACAUGUUUCUAAAGUUCCUUUUAAUCUGUAGGUUCCCCCUCUCAUUUAAUCUUUUGCAACUUAUUCAUUGAUGAAACUGGGUUAUUUGUCCUUUAUUGUUUCUCUCAUUCUGAAAUAUGCUGUAAUGUCAUUAACCAUAUUCUUCUUUCCUGUAUUUUCUGUAAGCUUUGAGCUAGGCAGAAAUAUUUUAAUCAGAUUCCUUUUUUUUUCUUUUAGCAAGAUUUCUUCAUAAAUAAUAUUGUAUGUGUUCAUGAAAAUAGAAAUAAAAAUAGAAAUAA